CAGUUUGAGUCGGUUACACAGUAAGAUCAUCUGGUUAGAUUAUACAGAUGUACAGGUACAGUUUGAGUCCGUUAGACAGUAAGAUCAUCUGGUUAGAUUAUACAGAUGUACAGGUACAGUUUGAGUCGGUUACACAUAAGAUCAUCUUGUUAGAUUAUACAGAUGUACAGAUGUACAGGUACAGUUUGAGUCGGUUACACAGUAAGAUCAUCUUGUUAGAUUAUACAGAUGUACAGGUACAGUUUGAGUCGGUUACACAGUAAGAUCAUCUUGUUAGAUUAUACAGAUGUACAGAUGUACAGGUACAGUUUGAGUCGGUUACACAGUAAGAUCAUCUUGUUAGAUUAUACAGAUGUACAGGUACAGUUUGAGUCGGUUACACAGUAAGAUCAUCUUGUUAGAUUAUACAGAUGUACAGAUGUACAGGUACAGUUGGAGUCGGUUACACAGUAAGAUCAUCUUGUUAGAUUAUACAGAUGUACAGAUGUACAGGUACAGUUUGAGUCGGUUACACAGUAAAUUCAUCUUGUUAGAUUAUACAGAUGUACAGAUGUACAGGUACAGUUUGAGUCGGUUAGACAGUAAGAUCAUCUUGUUAGAUUAUACAGAUGUACAGAUGUACAGGUACAGUUUGAGUCGGUUACACAGUAAGAUCAUCUUGUUAGAUUAUACAGAUGUACAGGUACAGUUUGAGUCGGUUACACAGUAAAUUCAUCUUGUUAGAUUAUACAGAUGUACAGAUGUACAGAUACAGUUUGAGUCGGUUACACAGUAAGAUCAUCUUGUUAGAUUAUACAGAUGUACAGAUGUACAGGUACAGUUUGAGUCGGUUACACAGUAAGAUCAUCUUGUUAGAUUAUACAGAUGUACAGGUACAGUUUGAGUCGGUUAGACAGUAAGAUCAUCUUGUUAGAUUAUACAGAUGUACAGGUACAGUUUGAGUCGGUUACACAGUAAGAUCAUCUUGUUAGAUUAUACAGAUGUACAGGUACAGUUUGAGUCGGUUACACAGUAAGAUCAUCUGGUUAGAUUAUACAGAUGUACAGGUACAGUUUGAGUCGGUUACACAGUAAGAUCAUCUUGUUAGAUUAUACAGAUGUACAGGUACAGUUUGAGUCGGUUAGACAGUAAGAUCAUCUUGUUAGAUUAUACAGAUGUACAGAUGUACAGGUACAGUUUGAGUCGGUUACACAGUAAGAUCAUCUUGUUAGAUUAUACAGAUGUACAGGUACAGUUUGAGUCGGUUACACAGUAAGAUCAUCUUGUUAGAUUAUACAGAUGUACAGAUGUACAGGUAGUUUGAGUCGGUUACACAGUAAGAUCAUCUUGUUAGAUUAUACAGAUGUACAGAUGUACAGGUACAGUUUGAGUCGGUUACACAGUAAGAUCAUCUUGUUAGAUUAUACAGAUGUACAGAUGUACAGGUACAGUUUGAGUCGGUUACACAGUAAGAUCAUCUUGUUAGAUUAUACAGAUGUACAGAUGUACAGGUACAGUUGGAGUCGGUUACACAGUAAGAUCAUCUUGUUAGAUUAUACAGAUGUACAGGUACAGUUUGAGUCGGUUACACAGUAAGAUCAUCUUGUUAGAUUAUACAGAUGUACAGGUACAGUUUGAGUCGGUUACACAGUAAGAUCAUCUUGUUAGAUUAUACAGAUGUACAGAUGUACAGGUACAGUUGGAGUCGGUUACACAGUAAGAUCAUCUUGUUAGAUUAUACAGAUGUACAGAUGUACAGGUACAGUUUG
Gigantopelta aegis is the source of this 1748-nucleotide long non-coding RNA. RefSeq lists it as uncharacterized. NCBI's taxonomy places the organism in Eukaryota, Metazoa, Mollusca, Gastropoda, Neomphalida, Peltospiridae. The record is from RefSeq and is a predicted model, not a curated record. The transcript is spliced from 3 exons.